AUCAGCUGCUUAAAUUUGCUGGAUCAUUGUGAUCAGCCCCUGACAUUGUUAAAAGAUAUCAGGAGUGUCUUGGAGCCCACCCAAGGCAGGGUCAUCCUUUCCUUGGUUUUGCCCUUUCAUCCCUAUGUGGAAAACAUGGGUGGCAACUGGGA
This is a non-coding RNA of Peromyscus maniculatus bairdii (prairie deer mouse), 152 nucleotides long. NCBI's taxonomy places the organism in Eukaryota, Metazoa, Chordata, Mammalia, Rodentia, Cricetidae. The record is from RefSeq and is a predicted model, not a curated record.